GCUGGCGGCGUGCCUAAUACAUGCAAGUCGAGCGAAUCUUUGGGAGCUUGCUCCCAUUGGUUAGCGGCGGACGGGUGAGUAACACGUGGGCAACCUGCCUGUAAGACUGGGAUAACUUCGGGAAACCGGAGCUAAUACCGGAUAAUCUUUUUCCUCUCAUGAGGAAAAACUGAAAGACGGUUUCGGCUGUCACUUACAGAUGGGCCCGCGGCGCAUUAGCUAGUUGGUGAGGUAACGGCUCACCAAGGCGACGAUGCGUAGCCGACCUGAGAGGGUGAUCGGCCACACUGGGACUGAGACACGGCCCAGACUCCUACGGGAGGCAGCAGUAGGGAAUCUUCCACAAUGGACGAAAGUCUGAUGGAGCAACGCCGCGUGAGCGAUGAAGGCCUUCGGGUCGUAAAGCUCUGUUGUUAGGGAAGAACAAGUAUCGGAGUAACUGCCGGUACCUUGACGGUACCUAACCAGAAAGCCACGGCUAACUACGUGCCAGCAGCCGCGGUAAUACGUAGGUGGCAAGCGUUGUCCGGAAUUAUUGGGCGUAAAGCGCGCGCAGGCGGUCCUUUAAGUCUGAUGUGAAAGCCCACGGCUCAACCGUGGAGGGUCAUUGGAAACUGGGGGACUUGAGUGCAGAAGAGGAAAGCGGAAUUCCACGUGUAGCGGUGAAAUGCGUAGAGAUGUGGAGGAACACCAGUGGCGAAGGCGGCUUUCUGGUCUGUAACUGACGCUGAGGCGCGAAAGCGUGGGGAGCAAACAGGAUUAGAUACCCUGGUAGUCCACGCCGUAAACGAUGAGUGCUAAGUGUUAGGG
This 810-nucleotide ribosomal RNA is filed under the name Bacillus sp. IDA1692. RNAcentral's name for it is "bacterial SSU rRNA". It matches the Rfam family "Bacterial small subunit ribosomal RNA", at positions 35 to 828 of the family's 1533-position model. Lineage: Bacteria; Bacillati; Bacillota; Bacilli; Caryophanales; Bacillaceae. The record is from RNAcentral.